ACGGGUGCGUAACACGUAUGCAAUCUACCCUUAUCAGGAGGAUAGCCCAGAGAAAUCUGGAUUAAUACUCCAUAGCACUAUUGAAUCGCAUGGUUCGAUAGUUAAAGCUCCGGCGGAUAAGGAUGAGCAUGCGUCCCAUUAGUUAGUUGGUGAGGUAACGGCUCACCAAGACAGCGAUGGGUAGGGGUUCUGAGAGGAUGAUCCCCCACACUGGUACUGAGACACGGACCAGACUCCUACGGGAGGCAGCAGUGAGGAAUAUUGGGCAAUGGACGGAAGUCUGACCCAGCCAUGCCGCGUGCAGGAAGACUGCCCUAUGGGUUGUAAACUGCUUUUAUAUACCAAGAAACCCCCGGACGUGUCCGGGGCUGACGGUAGUAUAUGAAUAAGGACCGGCUAGCUCCGUGCCAGCAGCCGCGGUAAUACGGAGGGUCCAAGCGUUAUCCGGAUUUAUUGGGUUUAAAGGGUUCGUAGGCGGGAGAUUAAGUCAGUGGUGAAAGCUUGCAGCUCAACUGUAAAAUUGCCAUUGAUACUGAUUUUCUUGAGUGUAUUUGGAGUUGGCGGAAUAUGUCAUGUAGCGGUGAAAUGCUUAGAUAUGACAUAGAACACCGAUCGCGAAGGCAGCCAACUAAGAUACUACUGACGCUGAGGAACGAAAGCGUGGGGAGCAAACAGGAUUAGAUACCCUGGUAGUCCACGCCGUAAACGAUGAUUACUCGAUAUUGGUCUUACGAUCAGUGUCCAAGCGAAAGUGAUAAGUAAUCCACCUGGGGAGUACGCCCGCAAGGGUGAAACUCAAAGGAAUUGACGGGGGCCCGCACAAGCGGUGGAGCAUGUGGUUUAAUUCGAUGAUACGCGAGGAACCUUACCAAGGCUUAAAUGUGAACGACCGGGAUGGAAACAUCCCUUUCUUCGGACGGUUCACAAGGUGCUGCAUGGUUGUCGUCAGCUCGUGCUGUGAAGUGUCGGGUUAAGUCCCAUAACGAGCGCAACCCCUAUCUCUAGUUGCCAGCGGAUCAUGCCGGGGACUCUAGAGAAACUGCCGGCGUAAGCCGAGAGGAAGGUGGGGAUGACGUCAAAUCAUCACGGCCCUUACGUCUUGGGCUACACACGUGCUACAAUGGUGGGGACAGAGAGUUGCAAACUGGUGACAGUGAGCUAAUCUUCAAACCCCAUCUCAGUUCGGAUCGUAGUCUGCAACUCGACUACGUGAAGUUGGAAUCGCUAGUAAUCGCGCAUCAGCCAUGGCGCGGUGAAUACGUUCCCGGGCCUUGUACACACC
RNAcentral lists this ribosomal RNA (1282 nucleotides) under uncultured bacterium. RNAcentral describes it as "bacterial SSU rRNA". It matches the Rfam family "Bacterial small subunit ribosomal RNA", at positions 102 to 1391 of the family's 1533-position model. The record is from RNAcentral.